AGGACGAACGCUGGCGGCGUGCUUAACACAUGCAAGUCGAGCGGUAAGGCCUUUCGGGGUACACGAGCGGCGAACGGGUGAGUAACACGUGGGUGAUCUGCCCUGCACUUCGGGAUAAGCCUGGGAAACUGGGUCUAAUACCGGAUAUGACCUCCUAUCGCAUGGUGGGUGGUGGAAAGAUUUAUCGGUGCAGGAUGGGCCCGCGGCCUAUCAGCUUGUUGGUGGGGUAAUGGCCUACCAAGGCGACGACGGGUAGCCGACCUGAGAGGGUGACCGGCCACACUGGGACUGAGACACGGCCCAGACUCCUACGGGGGGCAGCAGUGGGGAAUAUUGCACAAUGGGCGAAAGCCUGAUGCAGCGACCGCCGCGU
RNAcentral lists this ribosomal RNA (373 nucleotides) under uncultured soil bacterium. Its description in RNAcentral is "bacterial SSU rRNA". It matches the Rfam family "Bacterial small subunit ribosomal RNA", at positions 26 to 402 of the family's 1533-position model. The record is from RNAcentral.